CCCUAUGGGGUGCAGCAGGCGCGAAAACUCCGCAAUGCGCGAAAGCGUGACGGGGUCACCCCGAGUGCCGUCUGCUGAAGACGGCUUUUCCUCGGUCUAACCAGCCGUGGGAAUAAGGGGAGGGCAAGCCUGGUGUCAGCCGCCGCGGUAAUACCAGCUCCCCGAGUGGUAAGGACGAUUAUUGGGCCUAAAGCGUCCGUAGCCGGCUUGAUAAGUUUCUCGUUAAAUCUGGCGAUCCAAUCGUCAGGCUGCGGGAGAUACUGUCAAGCUAGGAGGCGGAAGAGGCCGGCGGUGCUUCUAGGGUAGGGGUGAAAUCCUAUAAUCCUAGGAGGACCACCAGUGGCGAAGGCGACCGGCCAGGACGCGCUCGACGGUGAGGGACGAAAGCUGGGGGAGCGAACCGGAUUAGAUACCCGGGUAGUCCCAGCUGUAAACGAUGCGGGCUAAGUGUCGGAAUGGCUUUGGAGCCAUUCCCGUGCUGCAGGGAAGCCGUUAGGCCUGCCGCCUGGGGAGUACGGCCGCAAGGCUGAAACUUAAAGGAAUUGGCGGGGGAGCACCACAAGGGGUGAAGCUUGCGGUUUAAUUGGAGUCAACGCCGGGAACCUUACCGGGGGUGACAGCUGAAUGAAGGCCAGAUUGAAGGUCUUGCUAGACUAGCUGAGAGGUGGUGCAUGGCC
This 677-nucleotide ribosomal RNA is filed under the name uncultured crenarchaeote. Its description in RNAcentral is "bacterial SSU rRNA". It matches the Rfam family "Archaeal small subunit ribosomal RNA", at positions 321 to 999 of the family's 1478-position model. The record is from RNAcentral. Lineage: Archaea; Thermoproteati; Thermoproteota.